GUGCUCACUUCAGCAGCACACACACUAAAAUUGGAAUGAUACAGAGAAGAUUAGCAUGGUAAGGAUGACACACAAAUUUGUGAAGCGUUCCAUAUUUUU
This 99-nucleotide small nuclear RNA is filed under the name Nannospalax galili (Upper Galilee mountains blind mole rat). The record is from RNAcentral. Lineage: Eukaryota; Metazoa; Chordata; Mammalia; Rodentia; Spalacidae.